GCAAACUUGGUCAUUUAGAGGAAGUAAAAGUCGUAACAAGGUUUCCGUAGGUGAACCUGCGGAAGGAUCAUUAAAAAAUCUCCCGAGCCGCAAGGCUCUAUUAUUUUGUGAAACGUCUGUGGUGGAACUUGUGGCCAUGGAUGCGGGAAGGCGGUUUGUCCGCCUUGCUUGUGUCUAGCCACCCCGGUUCCUGCCAUACAUAAUUGUAUUAUUUUUUAAACUUUGUAUGCUUUGAUGUUGAGGAAUGUGUGUUGCGUUAUUCGCAGCAAUGAUAAUAUAUAUACAACUUUCAACAGUGGAUCUCUCGGCUCUUGCAUCGAUGAAGAACGCAGC
This 333-nucleotide unclassified non-coding RNA is filed under the name uncultured fungus. Its description in RNAcentral is "partial contains small subunit ribosomal RNA, internal transcribed spacer 1, and 5.8S ribosomal RNA". The stretch from base 1 to 73 matches the Rfam family "Eukaryotic small subunit ribosomal RNA", at positions 1759 to 1831 of the family's 1831-position model. The record is from RNAcentral. Lineage: Eukaryota; Fungi.